Molecule: ribosomal RNA, 376 nt
Filed under: uncultured bacterium
Lineage: Bacteria
Description: bacterial SSU rRNA
Rfam family: Bacterial small subunit ribosomal RNA
Source: RNAcentral
AAUCAACGCUGGCGGCGUGCCUAACACAUGCAAGUCGAACGACGAAAGGUUCCUUCGGGGACCCGGUAGAGUGGCGGACGGGUGAGUAACACGUGGGUAAUCUGCCUUUGGGUGGGGAAUAACCCUUCGAAAGAGGGGCUAAUACCGCAUAACGCAGCGGCACCGAAUGGUGACAGUUGUUAAAGUGGGGGAUCGCAAGACCUCACGGCCUGAAGAGGAGCCCGCGCCCGAUUAGCUAGUUGGUNCGGAAUGGCGUACCAAGGCGACGAUCGGUAGCCGGCCUGAGAGGGCGGACGGCCACACUGGCACUGAGAGACGGGCCAGACUCCUACGGGAGGCAGCAGUGGGGAAUUUUGGGCAAUGGGCGCAAGCCUGA